GUAGAGUAACGUUUCCGCCGAUGUCUAGUGGCGUCCGACGAACCAAGAAACGACUGGAGACAAAACCUACCAAAAUGACCACGGCAGUGCAGAAAGUAGUAGUUGUUCCACCAAUGCACUUAAACGGGAUUCGAGUGCGUCUCAGGGUAGUCCAAAAGGGAACAAAUCUACGGUGUACUCCUCUGACAUCAGAUCAGCGUCGAACAGUUUGAGUCCCAAGAGUACAGAGGCCGUGCCAGACUCCACGCCGCCGAGGAACCCCAAGGUCAAUACUGCGAGAGCUGGAAACAGCGAAGAGACAGUCGACAGGACCGACGGGGAGUCCAGUUACUCGUCCUUUUACUCGUCAUUCUUCAAGACGGAAUCUGGCAGCGCGGAGGAAAGCGGCGAUGCUAAGAAAUUCGCCCUCGGAAACAUGGGAAGGU
Long non-coding RNA from Manduca sexta (tobacco hornworm), 425 nucleotides. RefSeq lists it as uncharacterized. The record is from RefSeq and is a predicted model, not a curated record. The transcript has 3 exons. NCBI's taxonomy places the organism in Eukaryota, Metazoa, Arthropoda, Insecta, Lepidoptera, Sphingidae.